UGGUUGGGGAUUUAAGAAUUAAGCAAUUAAAUAAGUAAAUAAAUAAAAGUUACGUAACUGCCGUCAUCUGCUUUCAGAGAGAAAGUGACUCCUGGUCCCUGAGGAGGCCAUAUCAAGUCUACAGCUAGCUCCUUAGCUCUGCAGUUUCAAAAAUUCAUCUGUAUCUGCCCAGGACCAGCCUGAGAGAUCCCUGUAACAGAACAGAUGGCACUGAAAUGGACUCGAUUAUGUACAAGGAGUUUUCAUCAUAUACGUCUUUCUGUAGAAGACUCAUAAAGACGAAUGCUGUGAUCUUGGGCAGAAUACUGGAACCAGAAGUGUCCCAGUUAGGAGCUGUCCAUCUGCCUGGGUUCUGGAGUGAAGAAGAUGUGCAACCAAUCCACCAUGGACAGGGAGCAUGAGUGAUAAGUCAACCAACUUCUUUAUCGUACACUACUGAGAUUUGAGGGUCAUUUAUUACCAUGCAGUUUGGCCUAAUCUGACUGACACAUUCUACAAUGUGAUCUGACUCCUGACCACUUCUCUGAUCUCAUGUCCUACCUUCCAUCCCCUUGCCCACCACACUCCAAACAUCCUGGCUUUCUUUCUCUUCUUUGAACAUGCCAAGCUUGUUCUGACCUCAAAGGCUUUGCUGUUCCCUCUGCCUGGAUUGCUUUUCCCUGAGGUGUUCGCAUGGCUGGCUCCUCUUCAUUAUUUGGAUCUAGGUUCGAAUGCUACCUUCUUAAGAAAUGUCUUCCCUGAGCCCCUAUCUAACAUAGCCGCCAGUCCUCUCUAUCACCUUAUCCGGUUUUAUUUUGCAUAAGUUUAUUAUUUGUGUUCCCUCCUUGGAACGAACCUUGAAGGUAGAGACCUCGUCCAUCGCAGUCACUUCUGUAUUUCCAGACACUAGAAGGUCACCUGAUACGUAGGAGACACUUAGUGUUUGUGUCACGAAUAAAGGAACGU
Equus caballus (horse) is the source of this 945-nucleotide long non-coding RNA. RefSeq lists it as uncharacterized. Lineage: Eukaryota; Metazoa; Chordata; Mammalia; Perissodactyla; Equidae. The record is from RefSeq and is a predicted model, not a curated record.